Molecule: long non-coding RNA, 1112 nt
Organism: Felis catus (domestic cat)
Lineage: Eukaryota; Metazoa; Chordata; Mammalia; Carnivora; Felidae
Exons: 3
Source: RefSeq, a predicted model, not a curated record
AGGGGCCAGCUGGCUCAGUCCUCUCUGUGACAUCACCUUGGUAGGGCAGGUGCAGGUGUUUGCCAACCACCUGGAAGCAGGGCAGUGCUGGGGGCCCCGUGUUGGCACCCUCCAGGAGUUAAUGGAGGUAACAAGCGAUGUCUCUGACAAGCAGUGUGACUCGGGACAGGGAGUUGGUGUUUUGAACGCACUAGUCUGCUGGCAAAGCAGACACACAACCCUCUCCUAUGUCACGAUCUGGUGGGAGGAGUCCUGCUGGGCGCGGACGUGCUGCACCUUGACCAGCACGCAUCCCUGUUCCGACCUGGUGAUGUCUUCUCCGUCUCUGCAGCAGGGAAGUGAACCAUUAAGCUGCUCUCUGCCUUGUGACCCGUGCUCCUCAGUGUCAGUGACAUCACUGUUCUCCGGGUGGAAGAGGGCUGGGGGCAGAGGCUCUGGUUUUGAAGACGGUCAGGAGCACAGACAGCGGGACCGCCUGGUUCGGACAGCACAGGGUCUCCCCUGACUCGCCGGGAAACAGGGCAACAGCCCCUCCUGAGCCUGUCCAGCCUUAGACACCACUGGCCUCGUCUCUUUCUCAGUUUGGAUCUCCCAACCUCUGCCACUGAAAACGUGGACCCUGCUCCCAUUGCCCCAAGACCACCUUCCCUUCGUGGACAACUGCAGCCACGAGGCCCACACCUGGGUCCUCUGGUCGGCAAAGGUAUCUUUGCCACAAGAGAUCUCUACCCAGAGCUAAUGAGAAAGAUCAGAAGCAAGGCGGACCCACCCUCCACCCCAAGGCCUCGCAGACUCGCAAGACCUGAUCGGCAGCUGCUGAAAAAAGACACACAGCCCCCCUUACUUUCUUUGACCUUUUUUCCUCUAAAGCAAAUGCUUUACAUUUCUGGGAGAAGGGCAGAAAAUCCUGACCAUAGGACACAAAGUCCUAUUGUGGCUGGGACAAGGAUAAGUAAAACAACAAUUUUUUACAAAUCUGUACUUCUGAGGUGUCCGGGUGGCUCGGUCGGUGGAGCAUCCGACUUCCGCUCGGGUCACGAUCUCGAGUUUCAUGAGUUGGAGCCCCGCGUCGCGUCGGGCUCUGUGCUGGCAGCUCAGAGCCUGGAGCCUGU